This 102-nucleotide ribosomal RNA is filed under the name Pseudobutyrivibrio ruminis DSM 9787. RNAcentral's name for it is "partial 23S rRNA. Bacterial LSU". It matches the Rfam family "Bacterial large subunit ribosomal RNA", at positions 2822 to 2925 of the family's 2925-position model. The record is from RNAcentral. Lineage: Bacteria; Bacillati; Bacillota; Clostridia; Lachnospirales; Lachnospiraceae. RNAcentral also lists the same sequence under 1 other name.
AAGGAAAUAAGAUCCCUUAUAGACGAUAAGGUAGAUAGGUUCAAGGUGUAAGUGCGGUAACGCAUUCAGCUGAUGAAUACUAAUAGAUCGAAGGUUUAUUCU